Molecule: ribosomal RNA, 252 nt
Filed under: uncultured bacterium
Lineage: Bacteria
Description: partial 16S ribosomal RNA
Rfam family: Bacterial small subunit ribosomal RNA
Source: RNAcentral
UACGAAGGGGGCUAGCGUUGCUCGGAUUUACUGGGCGUAAAGGGCGCGUAGGCGGACAGUUAAGUUGGGGGUGAAAGCCCGGGCUCAACCUCGGAAUUGCCUUCAAUACUGGCUGUCUUGAGUGUGAGAGAGGUGUGUGGAACUCCGAGUGUAGAGGUGAAAUUCGUAGAUAUUCGGAAGAACACCAGUGGCGAAGGCGACACACUGGCUCACUACUGACGCUGAGGCGUGAAAGCGUGGGGAGCAAACAGG